GAUGAACGCUGGCGGCGUGCCUAAUACAUGCCAGUCGAGCGAACGGACGAGAAGCUUGCUUCUCUGAUGUUAGCGGCGGACGGGUGAGUAACACGUGGAUAACCUACCUAUAAGACUGGGAUAACUUCGGGAAACCGGAGCUAAUACCGGAUAAUAUUUUGAACCGCAUGGUUCAAAAGUGAAAGACGGUCUUGCUGUCACUUAUAGAUGGAUCCGCGCUGCAUUAGCUAGUUGGUAAGGUAACGGCUUACCAAGGCAACGAUGCAUAGCCGACCUGAGGGGGUGAUCGGCCACACUGGAACUGAGACACGAUCCAGACUCCUACAGGAGGCAGCAGUAGGGAAUCUUCCGCAAUGAACGAAAGCCUGACGGAGCAACGCCGCGUGAGUGAUGAAGGUCUUCGGAUCGUAAAACUCUGUUAUUAGGGAAGAGCAUAUGUGUAAGUAACUGUGCACAUCUUGACGGUACCUAAUCAGAAAGCCACGGCUAACUACGUG
RNAcentral lists this ribosomal RNA (497 nucleotides) under uncultured bacterium. Its description in RNAcentral is "partial 16S ribosomal RNA". It matches the Rfam family "Bacterial small subunit ribosomal RNA", at positions 28 to 507 of the family's 1533-position model. The record is from RNAcentral.